Oreochromis aureus is the source of this 1706-nucleotide long non-coding RNA. The record is from Ensembl. Lineage: Eukaryota; Metazoa; Chordata; Actinopteri; Cichliformes; Cichlidae.
CGGGGGUACGGUGGCCCUGAAGUGCAAACCACAAAAACAAAUCACAAAACGCACAACAAAUUGAAAAGCGCAACAACAAAUUGAAAAGCGCAAAAACAAAUUGAAAAGCGCAAAAACAAAUUCACUAAACGCAAAAACAAAUUGAAAAGCGCAAAAACAAAUUCACUAAACGCACAACAAAUUGAAAAGCGCAAAAACAAAUUGAAAAGCGCAAAAACAAAUUGAAAAGCGCAAAAACAAAUUCACUAAACGCAAAAACAAAUUGAAAAGCGCAAAAACAAAUUCACUAAACGCAAAAACAAAUUGAAAAGCGCAAAAACAAAUCACAAACCGCACAACAAAUUGAAAAGCGCAAAAACAAAUUGAAAAGCGCAAAAACAAAUUCACUAAACGCAAAAACAAAUUGAAAAGCGCAUAAACAAAUUCACUAAACGCAAAAACAAAUUGAAAAACGCAAAACAAAUUGAAAAGCGCAACAACAAAUUGAAAAGCGCAAAAACAAAUUGAAAAGCGCAAAAACAAAUUCACUAAACGCAAAAACAAAUUGAAAAGCGCAACAACAAAUUCACUAAACGCAAAAACAAAUUGAAAAGCGCAAAACAAAUUGAAAAGCGCAAAAACAAAUUCACUAAACGCAAAAACAAAUUGAAAAGCGCAAAAACAAAUUCACUAAACGCAAAAACAAAUUGAAAAACGCAAAACAAAUUGAAAAGCGCAACAACAAAUUGAAAAGCGCAAAAACAAAUUGAAAAGCGCAAAAACAAAUUCACUAAACGCAAAAACAAAUUGAAAAGCGCAACAACAAAUUCACUAAACGCAAAAACAAAUUGAAAAGCGCAAAACAAAUUGAAAAGCGCAAAAACAAAUUGAAAAGCGCAACAACAAAUUGAAAAGCGCAAAAACAAAUUGAGAAGCACAAUUACAUUAAGAAAACCGGAAAGGGUAGGUACCAGUCGGCAACAGGAGACAUCACUGAUUGGAUGUCCGCGCUGUUCGUCUUUGGAACCGGAAGUUACUCUGCCUGUAGCGCAUUUCGUUUGAAGAAGAACGGCGGAAUGUUUUGUCCUAGCUAUGGGAAAAAGCUGGUUGAGGAGUCACCAAACUUUUGCAGCGGCUGUGGCGAGAGGCUUUAUCACGCAUCUUGCAUCGGAGACACUUCACUCCCAUUGAAUAAAUGUCGGCUUGAUGACCAUUAAAAAGGGUGGUUUGAAGCCAUACCGUGGAAAAACUAUUUUCCUAACAACAGACCCUGACGCUACUGCCACAAGUCUGCUCAAUCAAGCUGUUAAAAAAAUGAAGGACUUUAACAAAGAUCUAAAAGAUGGACCUUUCCUUCUUCUGUAUCCGGAUGGCACUGAGGUCAUUACUGUCCCUGGAACACAAAGACCAUUUACACUUGAGGCUUAUAAGGCUGAAGUUGGCAAGCCUUAUCAAAGAAUCACUGUUUUCAUCUGCUUGAAGAGUGACUUUGAAGAUGUUGGAGAAAACUCAGACUUGUCUGACUCUGACCCAGAGAUUGUUAUUAAAAGGCCCUCUGAGUUUGAUCUUGCUGAUACACUGCCAUGGGAACUUCAACAUGAAAGCAGUCCUUUACAGAAAGCGGCAGAAUAUGAGAAGGGUGCUGGGGAUCUUGUGCUUGCUAAUGAAGUACAACAGCUGCCAGGCAAGAUGAGUACUUUUUAGCAGGAAAGAUGAUCGCUGUAUCC